This 30801-nucleotide long non-coding RNA is filed under the name Malus domestica (apple). RNAcentral's name for it is "long non-coding RNA (MDOM_LNC005445)". Lineage: Eukaryota; Viridiplantae; Streptophyta; Magnoliopsida; Rosales; Rosaceae. The record is from RNAcentral.
AAUCAUAAUUUUUUUCACUUGAAACAGCAGAAACUCAGAUAUGAAACAGUACCUGAGGAUCGGCGAUCGGUUUCCGCUUCUCUACGUAGGCAUGGGGAUCCGCAGAGGCCAGAGCAGCCCUUUCCUGCUGUUCCCGCUUGAGGUCCUGUGAGGGCUUCACCCAGAGGAAGUAGGCUAGCGUACCAGCCACCACCCAUGACGCCAGGUUGCUUCCUCCUCUCAGGCCUCCCGUCGAAUUCGAUACGAAGGACCUCACAUUUCCCAAUCUUCUCUUCCAUGUGCUCGUCAUUGAUGUCAAUUUCGUCGCCUCUCUCGCCGAAAUGGGGAUUCGGGAUUUAUAGGGUUCUUUAUUUCUCUGAUCCCCCUUUGCAUGAUAUAUGUAAUUUCCAAACUAUAACACCGAAACGGUGGAGGCAGGAGGGCCUCCUCAAGUAAAGAAGAAUUUUAGGCCUCUUGGGCCACUCUUUUAAGUUGGUUGGACUGGGGCCUCUUGGGCCACUCUUUUAAGUUACUUGGGGAUUCCACGAUCGUAAAUAAUUAAAGGAUAAUUACAUGAGAAAAACGGUGACUAUAAUAUUUCGAUUUCUCCAAAACCUUUAGCAUAAUUCUUUUAAUAUUUGUAAACCAUGAUCCAUGGGUCCACUAUUUAAGAUUAAUAGAAUUAUCUUUAAGUAGUGGCCUUGCCCAGGCUAAUCUAUUGUAUUGUCUUAAACUUUUAUUACCACAAUAAUUGAUUUUAGGAUAUACAUUCGAGUUCUAAUAAUCUCUCACCGGCACUAAAAAUUAAUCAGUGUCUCAUUAAACCAAUGACAAAUAUACCAAAAUUUUCAUAUUGCUAAGAUAAAUGUAUAAGGAGAAACCGUCAACGAUGAAUGUAUAGGUAUAUGGAGAAAACACAUCUAUGAAGGACAAAGAGAGAAUAUGUUAAAGAGAAUAUUGUCUUUAUAAUGUGUUACAGAACAAAAAAGUUAUCUUCCAUAAGGAAUAUUGUUAUUCUUUUCAACUUUGAUUGUAGUUGUAGUGGACAAUAAGAAUAUUAUUAUACUGUGAAAUUAUAAAGUACAGAUCUAUUUGGUAAGUACAUCUUCAGCACUAUUUUUGGAAGUCUAUUAAAUAGUAUAGAGUAUGGAUCUCUAUCUAUAUACUAUAUUUUUGUUUGUUUUUUUGUUUUUUGUUUUUUGUAAAAUGAAGACAACUGGUGGCAAGUCACGUUAUCCACCUAUUACGGGGGCUGAGAAUACUCACAUAGGCAUUUCAGCAUUUCUCUGGCCACAAGUCUAACUUCCAUACCAGUUUGAACUCGAGACCUCCAAUUUUUAGUAUUUAAAAAUCAAUGCAUUACAGUUAAGGGAGUGGGUUGGAUGGUCAACCUAUCCUAACUCAACCUUUACAAUUCGGAUUUGGAGUGGGCCCAGUUCAUGCGGUUUUAGUUGGGUUUUAAUUAGAUUCGGGUUUAUUCGCGUUGGGUUCGUGUUCAUCCAACUUUAUCGAGUUCAAUCAUAUAACACCGAAUUUUGCAUGAUUUUUCAAAUUUGAACCAAACAACGUCAAUAUUAGUUAAACUUUCAUGUACACAUCAUCAUCCACACAAAAGCUAAAACAAACAAGUUGGAGACUAUUUCUAAUGUUUCAACCAUGCAAAGUUGAAAGUUAAAUUAUAAGACGUACCAAAACUUCAACCAAAAGAAAUGUGACGUACCAAAACUUCAACCAGAAAAAAUUUAAAAGUAAAACUUUCAUUCAUUAUCAUUAUGAAAAACGACAAUAAACCUUACAUAACUUAUAUAAUAUGAAAUGGGAUGGGUAAUAUGUGCACGAGCGAAUUCGGGCUCAAAAUCAGGUUGAGUUUUGGUUGACAUGGGCGGACAAUACAUCCACCCAACCCAACCCAAUAAAUGAAAGAGUUGAGGUCGGCUUGGAUUUGGACGAGUGUUUCUUCAUUCUAACUUGCUUGAUCGGAUUUAAAAUCGAGUUGAGUAUGUGCAGAUUCGGGUUGACCAAGCCCAAGUUGCACCCUAAUUACAGUUAUUUCAAUUUGAUUUUAUAUGCACACCAUGUGUGGAAGUUGCUUGCAUUUUAUUAUCUAUCUAUACUAUUAGCUAAUCCCUUUUAAGUUUGAUUAUCUCCAAAGACAAAUUUGAACCACAUUAUUACUAACUCAUUGUGAGGCUAAACCCACCCCUUAGUGUAGAUAAUAUUGUUCGUUAAAAAAAAACUAAUAACAAUUUAACUUUUAGGAAUAUUUAUGUCAAAUAAUUAAAUAUGUUAUAAAUAUGUAAAAGUUAGAGAGAUAACCUUUACUAGUGACAGGAACGAAGCAGGUGUAAAAUAUCACACUGAAACUAUAGCACAAGAGGAUGACAAAUAAAAGAGGGAGGAAUAGAUACUGAAGUUAUUAAUCUUUUAUUUCUUCUCAGUAUAUUCUAUAUAUCAUUUAACUGCAGUUGGAGCGCUCUAUUUAUAGAGUGGCUCCAUACAAACAGGUUCUUAUAGUUUGAAAUUUACAUUGCAUGUUUUGAAAACAAUCCUUUUGUUUCCAAAGUCUAUUUCAAUUUGCAAGGCAUUGACAAUGUGUGUGUGGGCAUUCAUAACAAUGCCAAUGUUUUCACAAAAUAAACUAUUUAAACCCUAUAGAAUUGUUGUAUUGUAGACAAUUAGAUGGAUGAUUUAGACGUGUUUAUCUUUAGCAAUUUUCUUCACAAAAUGUAGUUUUCGUAGCAUCAUUAGUCAUACAAAUCUUUAUUGUCUUGUAGAAAAAAGAGGAAAAAGAAAAAGGAUGCGUGAUGGUGCAUCGCACAUUCGCACUUCAUACGUCCUGUCGGUUUGCACAUGGGUGGGCUACCUAUAAUAUAAGCCAAACCGAGCGAGGAAGCAAAAGGAGUGGGUGGGUGUUGACAGUUGAGAGCGAGAGAGAGAGAGAGAGAGAGAGAGAGAGAGAGAGAGAGAGAGGUCAGAGGUGUGUGUGAUAAAAAAUGGCGGUUGAGAAGGGAAGAUACUGUGUAACAGGAGCUGGAGGGUUUCUUGCGUCGUGGGUUGUUAAGCUUCUUCUUUCCAAGGAUUCUAUUGUCCAAGGGACCCUCAGAGACCCCUGUAUGUAUCCUCUAUCCAACCAUUUUCCCUUCUUUCUUUCUACUGUUUGCACUUGCAGUGAAUACUGUUCCAUCGAUCGUAGGACAAGAUACAUCUGUUUUCAUUUUCAUUAUCUGCUACUUUGAUACUCGUUUGAUGUUUAAUUAUUUAGAGGCUGCUUGAUUAUAAUUUCGUUUUUCAAUUUUCCUUUUUUUAAUUAAAAAAGGAAAGAAAAAAAAAAAACUGAAAACGCAUUUGGUAACUAUUUGAGUUUUUUUUUAAUUUGGCAAGCAGUUACCAAACAUGUAAUGAAAACUAGGGGUGGGAAAUUUUGUCAUAAACUGAUUUACCAACUGAACCAUACAUGUUGGUUCAUAAUGGUAUGGUAUAGUUUUGACAUUUUUUUCAUAAUCGGUUGGCAUUAUACCGAACCAACAAUUAAUGGUAUGACUUUGGUAUUGGAUGUUGUAUACCGGCAGUAUGCCAUGCCUACCAAUAUAUAUAUAUAUAUAUAUAUAUUAGGUAUUUUUACAUGCUUGACAUGUGAAGAACUGGAAAAAUGUAAGUAUUGCUAUUUUUUUUCUAAUUCUAAUUAUAGUACUUCAAUCCAAUAUUUAUUGAUAUUUUUAAUUUAUUAUUCAAUGUUACUUCUUAUUUUAAUCAUACUUUUUUUUUAUGUAACAUUUGAAUUGAAAUAGUUGAUGGUUCUACAUCUCAAGCAGGAACAUCAAUUCCAAAUGCUUUGAAGAAUUGAUUCAUGAAACAUUUCACAUGCAUUGGUUGAUGCUACUUCAGUUAUGUUGCAUUAUCAAAACAAGAAGUUAUUUGUUUUGUGAGGUGCAUCAAGGUUGAGGAUGGAAAGGUUCUUGCUACAGAGAACGCGGUUAAAGACAGAUGGAAAGGUUAUUUUCAUAAUCUUUUCAAUGAAGGACAUGAAAGGAGUGCUUCUUUAGAGGAGUUGAGUAACUCAGAAGAGUGUAGAAACUACUCUUUUUAUCGUAGAAUCCGGAAGGAAGAAGUGGUUGUAGCUUUGAAGAAGAUGAAGCAUAGAAAAGCAAUAGGCCCAGACGAUAUACCAAUCGAAGUGUGGAAAGUUUUGGGAGAGACAGGUAUAACAUGGCUCACUGACCUUUUCAAUAGGAUUUUGAAAACGAAGAAGAUGCCAAAUGAGUGGCGAACGAUCACUUUGGUGCCUAUCUACAAGAAUAAGGGCGAUGUACAAAAUUGCAUGAACUAUAGGGGUAUUAAGCUAAUGAGUCAUACAAUGAAGCUCUGGGAGAGAGUCAUUGAGCAUAGAUUGAGGCAAGAGACACGGGUUUCGGACAACCAAUUCGGGUUCAUGCCAGGGCGCUCAACCAUGGAGGCAAUCUAUCUCUUACGAAGAUUGAUGGAAAGAUAUAGAGAUGGGAAAAAGGAUUUACACAUGGUCUUUAUAGAUUUGGAAAAAGCGUAUGAUAGGGUCCCAAGAGACAUUCUUUGGAGGAUUUUAGAGAAGAAAGGAGUACGAGUAGCAUAUAUCCAAGCUAUACAGGAUAUGUAUGAAGGAGUAAAGACUACCGUAAGAACUCACGAAGGACAAACCGGAAGCUUUCCCAUAACUGUAGGAUUACAUCAAGGCUCAUCCUUAAGUCCUUACCUUUUUGCGUUGGUAAUGGAUGAUUUAACAGGACAUAUUCAAGAUGAUAUUCCUUGGUGUAUGCUUUUCGCAGAUGAUAUAGUGUUGAUAGAUGAAACUCAGGAAGGGUAAAUGCAAAGCUUAACCUUUGGAGAGAAGUGUUGGAAUCUAAAGGUCUUCGCCUAAGCCGAUCAAAGACAGAAUAUAUGGAGUGCAAGUUCAGUGCAAAUGGAGGCCAAAACGAGUUAGGGGUGAGGAUCGGAGAUCAAGAAAUACCAAAGAGCGACCGUUUUCGUUACCUAGGAUCUAUCUUGCAAAAGAACGGAGAAUUAGAUGGAGAUCUCAACCAUAGAAUACAAGCUGGAUGGAUGAAGUGGAAGAGUGCAUCCGGCGUGUUGUGUGACCGCCGUAUGCCACUGAAGCUCAAGGGAAAAUUUUAUAGGACGGCAAUAAGGCCGCCGGCGAUGCUGUAUGGCAGGCACAGAAUGUUGGGCGGUGAAGCAUCAACACGUACACAAAAUGGGUGUAGCGGAGAUGAGGAUGCUUCGUUGGAUGUGUGGGCACACGAGAAAGGAUAAGAUUAGGAAUGAGGAUAUCCGGGGGGUAAAGUAGGAGUAGCCGAAAUUGAAGGAAAGAUGAGAGAAAAUCGGUUACGGUGGUUUGGACAUGUGCAAAGAAGGCCUACUGACGCUCCGAUUAGAAGAUGCGACUAUGGGACAGAGGUUCAGGGCCGAAGGGGUAGAGGAAGACCUAGGAAAACUUUGGAAGAGACCCUAAGAAAAGACUUAGAGUACUUGGAUCUAACGGAGGACAUGACACAGGACAGAACACAAUGGCGUUCUAAGAUUCAUAUAGCCGAUCCCACUCAGUGACUUGGAUUUUCCAAGUCUCCAACCGAGAAGUUUUCCUCACUCGGGAAAUUAAGGGAACACUACCUCAACCUACAUGCUCCACUCACAAAGCUUCAACAUACAAGCUUCAACAAAAGAAAAAUUCAAAGAACUUUAGCGAAGAAGGCUUUGGUGUAUUUAACACAAUACGUUGAAAUGAAGGAAAGCUUAUUUAUUGAUAUCCCCGAUAAGUUACAAAUAUGUACAUAUACUUGAGUCAAAAUAAACAAACAAGAGGGAGCCUUCACAAAGGUGGCUUAGGAGAAGUCUCAGCAGUCGGUAGAGCCCCAGAAAGAGAAGGCACCGGAGGGGGAUCAUUCGGAGCCUCAGUACUGGACAAAACCCUAGAAGGAGGAGGCAUCAGAGGUUGAUCAUUUGGAGCUUCAUUACGCGGUACAGCCCCAGAAGACGAAGUCAAUAAAUGCCUUUGGAACAAACCCACAAAUCUCUGAUGAUCAAGUAAAACCUGACCAUCAGAUUCCUUCAUCUGGUCAAGCUUCCUCUUCAUGUUUGUAGCAUAGUCAUGUGCGAGCCGGUGCAACUGUUUAUUCUCAUGCCUGAGCCCUCUAAUCUCCUGUUUGAGACUCAUCACUUCAGCCGCCAAUGAUUCAACUUGGCGGGUUCGAGCAAAUAGGCGUUGGGCCAUAUUAGACACAGAACCUGCACACUGAACAGUGAGAGCCAGAGAAUCCUUAACAGCCAACUCAUCAGACCGUUUGGAAAGUAGUCUGUUAUCUUUGGGAGUGAGAAGGUUCCUGGCCACUACCGCAGCGGUCAUAUCAUUCUUCAUCACGGAAUCCCCAACGGUAAGAGGACCAGUAGGGGAGACGAAAGGAUGGCGCCAUAUUGUUGUCUGGAGAAGGCGGGGCUGCCUCUUCAACAAGGUUCAAGUCAAAACGACGGUCGGAGGGGCCAGACAUUUUCAAAGGUGUUGAAGAGAGAAGAGGUCGGACAAAUCAAGAUCUUAGAAGUGCAAAAAUAGAGCUUCUACUGGUGGAUAUUCAAGUGUGCUUUGGAACUUAAUGUCAGCCCCUAUAAAAAUCUGCACUCGACGAAGCUUCAGAAAUCGAAGAGGCGCCUGCUCAGAAAUCGAAGAGGCGUUUUGCUUUCUCAAAAGCUGGGCUGCUCAGAGACCACGAGGGUCGAUCUCAGAAAUCGAAGAGGCGUUUGCUUUCUCAAAAGCUGGGCUGCUCAAAGACCACGAAGGCCGAUCUCAGAAAUCGAAGAGGCUUGCUUUCUCAAAAGCUGGGCUGCUCAGAGACCACGAGGGCCGAUCUCAGAAAUCGAAGAGGCACCUACUUUUCCAGCCUUGUCAGCACCUGUCACACGCACAUUCAGCUUUACGGAAAUUAUAGGCAUUCUGUCGAAGAUUUCUGACGAAGUAGAAAGCACAUGAAUCGUACUGUUCAAUCACCCACUUCCCACACGUAACAGUAACUCAUGGGUACCACAGAUAACUUUGCCAAAGUUCUCUGACAAAGUUGAGACACGUGAAGCUUGCAACUCCCGCUACAUCGCUCUAACCAAGAAGGGUAAAAGAAUUGCAAAGAAACAACACUAACAAAGUUUAGACACAUAAAUUUUGAAGAUCUAGCUACCAUAUUAUUACCCACAAGGGUAAAGGAACAGUACCACUGCUGGAUAAUUGGAAAGUCCCGGUGUGUCAACCUCUGUGCUUCGUGGCAAGGUAGACUAGCAAACAUGCCCAACCUUUACUCACAUUCGAGAAAACACUCCCAACAGGAUUGCUUGCUCCAAAAUCGAAGAGGCACCGCCCUCCGAAUCUCGAGAGCCAGACUCCCAACAUGAUUACUUUCUCAAAAAUCGAAGAGAGGGUAAAGGAACAGUACCACUGCUGGAUAAUUGGAAAGUCCCUGUGUGUCAACCUUUGUACUUCGUGGCAAGGUAGACUAGCAAACAUGCCCAACCUUUACUCACAUUCGAGAAAACACUCCCAACAAGAUUGCUUGCUCCAAAAUCGAAGAGGCACCGCCCUCCGAAUCUCGAGAGCCAGACUCCCAACAUGAUUACUUUCUCAAAAAUCGAAGAGAGAGGGUAAAGGAACAGUACCACUGCUGGAUAAUUAGAAAGUCCCUGUGUGUCAACCUCUGUGCUUCGUGGCAAGGUAGACUAGCAAACAUGCCCAACCUUUACUCACAUUCGAGAAAACACUCCCAACAAGAUUGCUUGCUCCAAAAUCGAAGAGGCACCGCCCUCCGAAUCUCGAGAGCCAGACUCCCAACAUGAUUACUUUCUAAAAAAUCGAAGAGACACCGCUCUCCGAAUCUCGAGAGCCAGACCCCCAGCAGGAUUGCUUUCUCAAAAAUCGAAGAGGCAUCGUUCUCCGAAUCUCGAGAGCCAGAUCCCCGAUAGGAUUGCUUGUUCGAAAACCGAAGAGGCACCACUUUCCCAACUUCAAGAGCUGGACCUCCUUGGAUAAAACUUGUCUGUAAUCUUCACACGCAACAUCAGCUUUCCAGAUACCACAGACCACUUUUUCAAAGUGCUCUGAUAGAGUUAAAACAUGUGAAGCUGGCAGCUCCCACUACCGUGCUAUGACCAAGCAGGGUAAAGGAAUAACAUUAUUACUUGAUGUUAGGGAGACUCCUAUAUAUGUCGACCUCCAUCCCUAACGGACAGGCAGACCUGCAAAAAAUGCUCAACCCUUUCUCUUAUCUGAGAGGGCACUCCCAACGAAGCCUUUCGAAAUAUUCAGCUUUCUUUCCCCCCGAUAAUACCUCUGUAAACAAGCUAUACUAGAGCAAGAAUAUCUCAUAUCAUCAGGGUUAAAAGCAAGAGUAUCCCAUAUCUUGCUUUUUCCCUGUCUUUUCCUUUGGCCUUGUUCUUACCUGCAAGACAAGGAGAAAGAGAGCAAUCAGUCAGCACUUGGAAUCAAGCUUCCAGCCAGGAACUGACUGCCUGGAACCCCUUACCUGAUUACUUAUCUGGCAUUGCUCUCGAGUACUCAUCUUCAACAUCUUAUGCUUCCAGGGAAGAUACCGCAUCUGCCUGAGGAACAGAGAGCAAGUGAGAAGGAUACAAGGAAGCAUGUGGAGACAAGCGUAACAGCACACGUGCCGAUACAUCCACUACUCUGUCAAAAGCAAAAGUAUCCCAUAUCAGCAGGGUCGAACGUACUCUAGAUUUGAUGGACUUGUUUUGACCCUCAAAUUCUUCAGUUGGCCUUAUACUCUGGAGGAAAAACCAGAAAAACCCUCCAGCCCGGUUCAAGAAUAAGCCUGUGGAAAGUUUACUUCUUCAAAAGCAAAAGUAUCCCAUAUCAUCUCUUCUCAUUUUUUCUUCUCUUUAUCCUUCAUGCUGCCUGCAAGAUAGGGAGAAUGUGAACAAUUAGCCGGAGCUCUGAUUGCUUACCUUGUCUGUCACCUCUUUCAGCAGAUCCCCUAGCCCGGCGACUUGGGGGACUCCUACUACAUGGUUUGUAUCGCGCUUGACCAAGCCUGAAACUUCAAGUAAGCUUCAAGUAAAAUUGAUACAUUACCUUGUGCAUCUCCACCAGUUACAGAUACCACCCCUGGAUGGAGGAAGAGAGUACUUCCAGAGAAGAUGCCACAUCUACCUAUGAGACAGAUAAGGAAAGUCAAGACGAUACCACACUCCGGUACUUAGAGAAGUUUCGUGGUUACGAGAUCAUUCUCCCACAAUAUUUCCUAAUGUCAUUUGUACUAAAUCAUUCACUUGUACUCACUAAAGGAGAGCUUGAACCUAUGUACUUGUGUAAACCCUUCACAAUUAAUGAGAACUCCUCUAUUCCGUGGACGUAGCCAAUCUGGGUGAACCACGUACAUCUUGUGUUUGCUUUCCUAUCUCUAUCCAUUUAUAUACUUAUCCACACUAAUGACCGGAGCAAUCUAGCGAAGAUCACAAAAAGUGACCGUUUUCGCUACCUAGGAUCUAUCUUGCAAGAGAACGGAGAAUUAGAUAGAGAUCUCAACCAUAGAAUACAAGCUGGAUGGAAGUGUAAGAGUGCAUCCGGCGUGUUGUGUGACCGUUGUAGGCCACUGAAGCUCAAGGGAAAAUUUUAUAGGACGGCAAUAAGGCCAGCGAUGUUGUAUGGCACAGAAUGUUGGGCGGUGAAGCAUCAACACGUACACAAAAUGGGUGUAGCAGAGAUGAGAUGCUUCGUGGGAUGUAUGGGCACACGAGAAAGGAUAAGAUUGGGAAUGAGGAUAUCCGAGGUAAAGUAGGAGUAGCCAAAAUUGAAGGAAAUAUGAGAGAAAAUCGGUUCCGGUGGUUUGGACAUGUGCAAAGAAGGUCUACUGACACCCGGUUCGAAAAUGUGACUACGGGACAGAGGUUCAGGGCCGAAGGGGUAGAGGAAGACCUAGGAAAACUUUGGAAGAGACCCUAAGAAAAGACUUGAGUACUUGGAUCUAACGGAGGACAUGACACAAAACCGAGCGCAAUGACGUUCUAGGAUUCAUAUAGCCGACCCCACUUAGUGGGAAAAGGCUUUGUUGUUGUUGUUGUUGUUGCAUUAGUUGCUACAAUUGAACUUAGACAAUUAUAUUAGUUAGACUUUUGAGUUUGUGAACUUAUAACUAUUUGGAUUAUGUUUGUUGACAUUGUUGUUGGCUUAUUAAGUUUUGAUUUGAUUUUCAUUUUAAUUUGUUAAGUCAUGAUUAUGUUGGCUUAUCAUCAAUUGAAAAAUUGCAGCAGCAACUUCUUUUUCUCUUUUCUGGUUUGUUGUUUACAGGUUGGUGCAUGGUCUUGAGUUGUUUUUGUAGCUUAUUUGCAAACCAUUGGUUGUGCCAUUUACCAACCAAACCAGCCAAUAAUUUUGGCUGAACCAAUUUUUGGCAACCAUAAGAAGACGAUUGGCUAGCGGUAACUAAUUUUCAGUAAUUAUGUAUAUGUAGUUGGUAUGUGGCAUAAGGAAUUUGGCACGAUUUACCAACCGAACCCAGCCCUAAUGAAAACUAAAAACUGGCAUAGUUAUCAAACGGACCUUUAACAAGAUAAAAUGCUCAGUUCUUAAAUUCUAAUGAUUUUGGCUAUAAUUUUGUUGGUGUGAUAUGCUUGAUUACAAGCAAUGCAAACACAAAAUGAACAAAUUUCUUGAUUGAGUGGAAACUGGCUCAAAGAGUGUCAGGAAGCGGAAAUCGUUGAUGAUUAAUAGUACUGUAUUUGUGUUGUGCACAAACGCAGCUAAUGACAAGCACGCCCACUUGAAAAAACUUGACAAGGCAUCUGAGAACCUUAAACUAUUCAAAGCGGACUUGUUGGACUAUGAAUCCCUUCGCACAGCGAUUCAAGGAUGUGAUGGAGUGUUUCAUGUUGCCAGUCCAGUUCCCUACGACCCUGUGCCAAAUCCUGAGGCAAGAAUUUCUCUCAUUCAUUGAUCACUGAGAUACUCGAUCUCAAUUGCAAUAUAUUAGUUAGUAGUUAGUACACUGACUUCUCUUCGGUAGUUGCUAAUUAGUAUAGUACUCUAUUUGUGGUUGGUACUAUGUAUAGUUUUAUUAUGCCAAUAUAUGCUAACCAAAUAAAUGCUCAUAUUUUCCUACAUUUUGAUUUAUCGUUUGUCCAGGUAGAAUUGAUUGAACCUGCCGUGAAGGGAACACUUAAUGUACUUAAAGCAUGCCUUGAAGCAAAAGUCAAGCGAGUUGUUUUCGUGUCAGCUGCAGCUUCUCUUGUCAUGAAUCCUAAGUGGUCUCAAGGCCAAGUGUUGGAUGAAACUUGUUGGUCAGACAAGGAAUACUGCAGAAGUACUAAGGUAUUCCAGGAACAUAUAUAUGUGAUUGUAGUUCUAGAAUGAACUCAUAAUUUUGGUGAUCAAUGCAACGCGUAGUAGAACUAAGAAAUAGGAACACGCAUACACAACUUUCCUUUUAGGAUCCAGUUAGGAGUGUUGAUUCUUCACCGAGGGUACCAUUAGAAAAGGACUUCCAGGGAUUAUGUUUUAAUUCCCCAAGAAAUAUCGAACAAUUAGAAAUAAAAGAAAGGAAAGUGUAUUAUUUAUUCUAUAAUGACGAAAAACCAUAGAGUUAGAAAUGAUUAAAACACUAUCAAUAAUCUUCACUAAAACAGGAAAAGGGAAAGAAUGGAAUUUGCCAAUGACGGUAAGUUUUGAGAUUGACUUUCAAAAUCAUAAACUGCACACAUUUCAGUAUCAUAACAAACUAUUUUCGAAACUGAAAUUGAAAUUCAUUCUAUAAUGGUCAAAUCAUGUUUUUCACUAGUCCUAUGCAAUGAAAAAAAAAAUAUUGAAUAUCAUCUCGUGCGGUUCCUGAACUUUCACUCAUAGUUUUAUCUAACAUUUUCACUUUUGGUAGAGAAUUGAAAUGGCGCAAAUCCAUUUAGUGUGAUGAUAUCAUCUAGAUAUUCAUUCUGCAACAUUGCACUCGUAAAGUUAUUUUAGUGUGAUUGUAUAUUUCAUAUGUGUGUUUCGACUAUCUAAUUAUUUCUUUAAUCUUUCAGAAUUGGUAUUUUCUUUCAAAAACUGAAGCAGAAUAUGAAGCCCUGGAGUAUGCAAGAAUAAAUGGGCUCGACUUGGUAACCGUUUGUCCUACACUUAUUAUGGGGCCAAUUCUGCAGUCCACUGUAAAUGCAAGUACCUUGGUCGUCAUCAAGCUUCUGAAGGGUACUUACUUUUGACAUAACCACUUGAUGCUUAAUUAAAUCCCUUGCUUUGUUAAAAAAAAUUAAAUCCAUUUCUUUAAAAUCAAGGGUUUUCACAAAUAAACCGAUAUAGAACCCCAUUUCACAGUUAAAACUUGAUAGGUCAGGGAUUUGUUUUCUAUAGUUUGAUUCUUGAAAUUUUUCUUACUACCAUUAACAGUUACACGCUUUACAUAAUUAUGUAUAAAAUCUACAUAUAUUUAGAUAGAGAGGUAGGUGGGGUUGUAAACUCAUCCUUUGGUAAUUGUCUAUUGUGGGUGUUUAUGCACUUGGCUCCAUUUUGAUCUCUAUGACCCAGGAUCCAGGUUUAUCCCCCAGUCAUGAAUAUUCAUAUUAACUGAUUUAAUAUUGUCUCCUCGCAGAAGGGUAUGAGUCACUGGAAAACAAGCCGCGGAUGAUAGUUGAUGUGCGGGAUGUAGCUGAAGCAGUCGUUAUGGUGAAUGAGAAGCCUGAGGCUGAAGGAAGAUACAUAUGCACCGCUCACAAUAUCAAGACGAGAGAUCUGGUUGAAGAGCUGAAGAGCAUUUAUCCUAAUUACAGUUAUCCUAUGAAGUAAGGUUUCUCUUCAAUCUAUACUUGGUAACUAGAAUGGAGAGAUUUUCAAAUGAGUUAUGUAUAUAGCGUUAUUGAUCAUCGAUGUCAUCCAAUACAAAAUUAAGCAGAAUGGACAGGGAUUCUUGUUGUAAUGGUUUUCCGUUUCAACUAAUUUUAUGAAUUUGGAUUAUACAUGUAUAUUGGCAGCUUUGUUGAAGUAGAAGAACAACCAAGGUUGAGCUCGGAGAAACUUCAGAGGCUGGGUUUGAGUUUCCGACCAUUGAAAGAGACGCUUACUGGCUCAGUUGAAAGCUACAAAGAGGCUGGACUGCUCUGAUACCGAAAACAUCUCAGAGCGUGCUCUACGAAUCUAACUACAUUGUUUGAAGUUACACAUCCCACGAUGGAAGAGGAAAAUUUGGCUUAAUUUGUUGCAGUGCCGUUUAGGUUGGUGGAGUCCAAACAUAUAUGUCAGUUUUCUGUCUUAUAGCUACCGCCCAGUGAUAGUUGCCAAAUAAUAUUUCAUCUUUUUGUGUUUGUUGAGAAAACAAUGUUUUGGUUUUGGCCUUUAUGAUCUUACUCAUUCGACUUGUUCAAAUGGAAAUAAGCUAUUGACGGAUAUUUCUCAGGUUCUAGAAUAUGAGUCCCUUGGGGUCCCAGAUUAGGUGUUUAUUGUUUGGAGUUGCUUGAAGGUGUGGAAUAAUAGUCACUCGCAUUGGGCAUCUUAUAAAACAAACUAAAAUUUACAUGAAAUGGUUUCAUUUUUAAUUGCGUUAGUGACAACCCCCUCACUUAUUGGACAAAUGAAUAAGUUUGAGAUAGUAUUAGUGUUUAUUGAAUUGCACAAGUGAUUAAGUUUGAGACAAUAUUAGCGUGAUUAAUAGUGGACUGGUUGCUCCACUCUCAAAAAUCUUAACAUAAGGGUCAUGGUCUAGCACUUACUAGUCUUAGCUCAUCACGUCGCAUGUACACCUCGAUCAUGUCUAAUUAAUUAGAUGAAAAUACACCAAUGAAUAAGAGUCCCUUAUUUAGUGAAAUUAUUUUUCUAAUUAUGUUUUAAUAGUGAUGGUGAUCCGGUAAAAUGCUUUGGAUAUUAUUUCAAUCAGAAUCUUCCGUUGAUGUUAAUGUUAAACAGUAAUACGUAAAUGAUGACAAAGACAUGCCAACUAGCCAUAGCCGGAGACAUGAGCUCGUUACCUAUCAUUUUUUAACACCCUCAUAGACCUAUCAUUAGUUUUGCAGUUAUUUGUGUUUUUUAGUUGGGGUUUAUUGAAAAAUUGCUUGAUUGGUUGGGGGUUUAAGAAGUCAAAUUUGGAGAUUGGUAGGGUAACACUUUCUUGUGAGAUUGUGUCGCAACAGUAGUCUGGAAAAUGAUUUCAACAUUUAUUUUUUCUUGUUGGAUUCUUCUAUUUAUUUGUGUUUUUUAAUUCUCAUUUAAUUAAUUAGUCAUAGAUAACUAUGAGUUUAUGUGGACGUGAAAAUUUGAAUGGGACCAUGAAGUAUCUAUAUGGUGCAGUAUAUAUCUUGACAAAUCAAUGCUUUAGGUGGUAGGCUUUAUAAAAUGUAUUCAGAGUCAUGCAAGUGACAAACAUUGACUUUGUGUUUGCCGAAAAAGUGAUGUACGUAGUAAAUAGUGAAAGGCAAUCUUGACUCGUUUUGUGGACGGUGGAAAUCUUAGCUUGCAAACCGAGUGUCAACACAAUAUGGCCAAAGUUUUAAGUGAAAUCGGGUAUAUAUUUUCUGUUUUAUUCUAACUAGGUUAUGUGCAUGUGUACAUGUGUAAUUGAUUGAACGUUUAUCUACCAAAAAAAUUUAGUCACUAGAGAGAAAAACAAAGAAAAAAAACUCAUCGCCUUGUAUCCUAAAGCCAAAGGCAAGGAUCGUCGGUAAUCCCUCUUGGUCCCUUCCAUUUAUUUCCCAUGUUUCUUCUAUCUUCUAAUCAUCUUUGUCUCUUAUUUUAUGUAGUGUACGGGAAUAAAUGGCUGGUUGGAUCUUCUCAUUUAUCAAUGCCAUUGUUUUUCUUCUCUUUUUUAUUGAGUUGCCUAGUAACUGUUCUAAUAUUAACUAUUUAUCCAACUAAUGCUUUAUAAUCUUCCUAUUUAAGGGGUUCCAUAUGUAUCUUUAAAGAAGUCAUUUAGUGAAUUUUAAAAAUUAUAUCUAAGAAGCGAGUCAUUUUCUCCUUUGAAAAGCGUUUGACUUGGUCUUACGAGGGGUAUUUGAUUGAUAAUGAAAAAAGAAGUUAUACUUAGCCAGGAGGAAAUAAACCUAACCCCUCAUAAUACAAGAAAAAAAAAAGGAUUAAAAAAAUACAUGAAAAUGAAGGGGGACAUAAAUGUUGCCCCGGUAGAAAUGAAAACAAUAGAGAUACAAGGAAAAUAGGGGGGGGGAUGAAACCUAACCCUUAUAAAGUCAAACCUAAAGGUCUAAACCUGCAAAAUAGAUCAAGCAACAUCACAGGGUUAAGAAAAGAGAACAGUCAGAUAAACAUAUAUACUGAGAUGCACAUUAAUUUGAGAAGCAAAAGCCAGGAAAGGCAGCAUAGUCUGAAAGCAAAGCAACAUGAGCCGCCACCGGAUGGAAUCAUACCAUACCAAAGUUGGAGAAAACAAAGCAACACGAGUUCCGUUUUCUUUUUCUUUGGUUGAGUGAUUCUCAGGUUAUCUACACUCGUCUCUUUGAGAACCUUGGCUCGUCCUACGUCACUGUUAUGGUUACUCUUUCACUUCAUUAUAGAGACUUAAUAGCUGUGCCCAGUCUCUUGCUCUGUUGAGAAGAAUCUUUUAUAGAGAUGAAGAUUUACUACUCAAUCACAUAUUUUACAUCAACCGAUGUUAGUCAACUUUGAGGUGAAGGUUUUUUGGGUUCUCUUGGUUUGUGGACUUGGCAAUGACUAUGAAGAAGCUUGAUUUUGUUGGAAGUGACUUAUAACAAUGCUUCUUUGCAAACGAUUGCAAGGUUAUAAUAAGUUGGUGUACUUUACUCAUGGCAACCAUUAUAGUAGUUCUUCAGCUUGCAAGGUUUAGUUCUAGUGAGAAUUAUCUUUCUUGUUUGUUGAUUGUGGGUCUUUUUUGAAUGCAUAAUUGUAUUAUACUCAUGAGUCAUGAUAAAUUUGUAACUAUAGAUUCGCGAUAUUUCUUUUGGUAUAUGCAUACUGUUCUAGGGAUUUUCCAUGUGUUUUUCUUAACUAAAGUUUGUUCUAAGUACCAUGUUGGUGUGCACGUCAUAUGUAAAUUCUUGAUAGUUCUUACUUGUAUAAUGAUUUGGCCCCCGCAUAUGAAAUCCUAGUUCUGCCCCUAGUUUCACUUUCAAGGAUCUAAAAUAAUUACAUUCUAUAUUUUUUUUUAAUCUGGAAACUCUCACUUUGGUGUAUAUACUACAUAGUGUAAAGCUCACUCAUGUGAGGAUUGGGAUAAAACAUUUACCCUCUAUGUUAUAGACUUGCAUCUUUUAUAUAUGGAGAUAUUACAAACCCAUACUCGUACAUAAGUUGUAGCAUUUGUCACGCAUCGAUCCCAAUACAUUAGGAUCGAUACGUGAUGUCACCAUGUGCCUAUUCAUCUAUCAUACCUCGCCUCCGAGACAUGACCAAAACAAACCAAUAGUUCAAUAGCAUAGUAACUUUUUUUUCUUUUAUUUCAUGGCUACAUCUAAUCUCUAUAUUAGAUUGCCUACAUACCCUAAAACGGGAUUAAGCCAUUCGUAGUUUACCCUUUGUCAAGCUCUGACAUUUCUCAUGAUACUUCCUAACAAAAAAACAUAAAGUUCUAAAAUCACUCAAUGGAACUCGAAAAGCAUAAAUCAAUACAUUUCAAAUUCAAUAACGAAAUCAUAUGACAACCAAGAUUGUCAUUUCGUCAUCCGCAUACAUAACAAUGUUUUACAACACAGUUCCACAAUCACAACAAAUAAUAGAUUCCAUGACUCAAGGAUACUCAAUAUUAACAUUUAACUACUUAAUCAACCAACAAGAUCAAAGUAUCCUUUCACGAAAUUUGAUAAUAAUCUUUGUAUUUCCCUACCUGGAUUCCAAGCAAUAUUGUAACCCUAAUUUACAAACAUAAAUGUCUACUAUCAGUAAUUUCUAUUCACAAUAAUCUAGGGUUUAGGACUAACUCCACGGAACCGACCAAGAGUUGGGAUCCCAGACCACUUAACGGAAUCCCACUAUGAAGUGGUCGCCCAUCACGGGUUUACCAAGCACAACUUCUCCUUACAACCUUAUGGAGGAAGUGGUUAGCCAUCACAGAUAUACCAAACACCAUCGCCCCUAGAAUACAUAUGGUCACCCAUCGGGGAUAUACUAAGUAGUACUAUAGGCAUAAACUAAUUGUGUAGGUAGUGAUCACCCUUGAAAUAUGUAUUGUCCCCAUCGGAUAUACCAAGUAGAACCAUAAGCGUGCAUUAAAUGGUGUAGUCCCUUAAUGCGAAUUAACAAAGCAAGACCACCCAUGAGCACCAAGUAACAAGGUAGGCAAUGACCCCUAAUGCAUAUUAACCAACCAGAGUCACCCCUAGAAUGUGUAUGGUCUCCUAAUUCAGAAUUAACCAAGCUUAUGACACCAAUAGCAUGGUCUUUUAAUGCGGAUUAACCAAGUAAGACCACUUAUGGAAACAAGGUAACCAAAUAAGUAGUGACCCCACAAUGCAGAUUAACCAAGCAAAGUCAUGCCUAUAAUGCAUAUAGUCCCCCAAUGCGGAUUAACCAAGCAGGUCCAUAGACAUGCAUCAAAUGGUGUGGUUCCCCAAUGCAGAUUAACCAAGCACGACCACCUAUGUACCACACUGCUACAUGGUUUAGUUGUAUCAUCACACAUUAUACAUCUUACAUCAUGAAUCGUACAUCAUACAUCAAUUCAGCAUGAAUCACAAUUGUAAGCGCGCACACACACACUCGAUUCCACGUGACUAACCAAAAGACUUGUCAUACAACAUAUAAGUUCUACAAAAAACUUCUACUAUGGUUCCAUGCUCAUUUUUUCAUACUAGCAAUGACAUAUCAAUUAUAUCAUCUAGAAGUUCAAUAAUCACGUAAAUUUUAGUAAGUUGCCACCCGCACGCAAAACAAAGCACAUAUCCCUCAAUAUGGCUCGCUUACCAAGAUAGACCCAUUAGACUUUAUCAGACAUCUAGUAAUGUUAAUUUCAGUACUUAAGAACGAUUUGGAACAUUUUGACCAAAUGUCAACCCUUGGUUAAUGUGGUCAACGAUACGGUUAACAACCCUAAUAAUUUAAUCCGGAUGACCUGUACGUCGAACUUCCAACCUGUAAAUUCCUAAGAUCCUAAAGUAUUACGUAUAACCACAUACUAUAAUUUCAUAAGGAUCCAACAGUCAGAUCUUCAUCUACUAGAAAGGCCGUGUGGCGGACCUUUACGAAACUAGGAUCAAACAGUCAAAUCUUGUCAAAGGGGUGUCAAAAACCAAAUUCAGGGCACAUGAAUUGGCCUAAGUAGACAAAGUGGGCAUCGAGCCUACACACCACUGCCACCCGCCAUCGCACACGAUAAUUAGUGGCUAUGACUCGCCGGAUUGUGGCCAUAACAAAAAAUGACCCAUAUUAUGUCAAAUUGAAGCCUGUGGAGGAUGGAGCAAUAUUCAUACAUUUGUCGGAGUCUAGAUAUGAUUGGAAAACCUUAAAUUCCUCAGUAAAGUUGUGGAUCGACGAAAAGGGUGUACCUUGUCGAGUCUUUAAUAGAGCUCGAACGUCAAAUUUAAAGCUCGGAGUUUGCAGCCCAAAUUGAGGUUAAUGCAGUGGAGGCAGUCAUCGACGUUGAGGUGAACGGAGAAGGCAGAUCGUCGGCAUCAAAGUCCCGGAAUUCUCAAGACUCAAUCCGCCACAAAUGAGAGCCAAACUAGGUUGAUCUUGGGUGGGAAAUGACCAUGGGGACGAGAGGAGUCUAUCCCAUAUGGUGGCCAAGAUUGUCGUCGACAAAAUUCAUUGGAAUCGGCGUAUGAAAGUUUGUCCAAAAACAAUCAAAAUUGCAGAGAGAUUCCGAGGCAACCAAGUCGACUUGCAUAGCUGUUUUCUAAAACGAGAAGAGCUCCCUUCCUAAAUCUGGGACCUUCCAUACAUAGGGGUCCAAAAGAUAAAAUUACCCCUUCCCUUGUUUCCUUAUUUCUCCUUCAUUAACAUUCCAAUUCGCGAUCGUUUUUUGUCCACGCAUUUGUGAGAUUGAGUUCUAUUCGAAAACACUAAAAGUGACUAAAAUGGCCUUACAGAUUUUUAAUUACUAAUUACGAAAAUAAAGUGAAUUUGUGUAAAUACGUAAAAUUAGAUAGUGAUAUAUUUCACACCUUCAUUAUUACCAUGGAAAAUUCAACAAGUUGUACUGUUGUAGCCUUCAAUAUUGCUAAGGAAAAUUCAGCAAGUUGUUAUAAGAAAUGACUUCGUGGGCAUCACCCACAUCACUAUUUCACCAAUAAACAUUCACCACGUGGGCAUUCAUCUUUUGUCAAACCAUAUGCAUAAGACUCCCUCCACCGCAUAUAUAAACAGACAAGUAGAAUGACGAAGAAGAUAUAGAUAGAGAGAUCAAUCAUAAGAGAGGUGGGACUGAGAGGAGCAAGGAAAUUAGCUAGGUUGAAUAUAUAACUUGGUAAGAAGAUAUAGCAACGAGAUGGCGGGUGAGGCGGCUGAUCAGAAAGAAAAAGUAUGCGUGACUGGAGCUGGAGGAUUUACUGCCUCUUGGGUCGUCAACCUCCUUCUCUCCAGGGACUAUGUUGUUCAUGGAACUGUCAGGCAACCAGGUCAGUCAAUCCCAACACUCAUCGUAUAUAUAGUAUAAUAUUAAUUGUAUACUUUCAGUGAGAAGAUUGGACUGAAUUGAGAAAAAUAUAUUCGUGCGCGCAUGCAGGAGAUAGCAAGUAUGCUCACUUGAACAAGCUUGAGAAAGCAUCAGUGAACCUCAAACUGUUCAAGGCAGAUUUGUUGGACUACGACUCUCUUCGUUUGGCCAUUGAAGGUUGCAGCGGAGUCUUCCAUGUUGCCAGCCCUGUACCCAAUUCUCUUAAUGAUUCAGACCCUGAGGCAAGAAUCUUCUAGAUUAUGUUAUCUUAAUUAAUUGAGUUAUGAUGAGUAAAUUUAAUCUACACAUUUAGUCUCUCUGGCAUUUACUUUAAUUAAUUAAUGUGUGCCUCGCUCAACGUAAUUUAUUUAACUAUAAUUGUUAGAUUCGACCGGCUGCAUUGAUUGAUUAAUGAAUCCCAUAUUUGAAAAAAAAAAAAAUUUGAAAUUUGAAAGUCCAAAAAAAAAAAAAAAUUGGCUUCCAGUGAAUAAUGCUUGUGCUCCCCUUAUGAAGGAACAUAAUUAUCUCUACAUUUAUAAUUAGCAUAUUUUACUAUACAAAAAUCAUAAUUGGAAUCGUUUAUUCACUUUCAUAUAUAAUCUAAAUAUCAUAUUCAUAAAAAAUCAUGGCUUUUUAUCCAAAAUGAUCCCUGAGAUUUGCAUAACACAUAAUUUUGGCACCUGAGAUUGAAAAUCAAUAAAAAUGGUUCAUGAGAUUUUCUACCAUCCAUGAUUUUAGUCAUUCCGUUAAAAACUCUGUUAGGUGGUUCUAGAGCUCUUGACCAGAAGUUUGGGUAAUUUUCAAAGCUUCAUAACUUAAUCGUUUCUUAACCAAAUUCGACCCAUAAUAUAUCAAAAUGAAGAUAGGAAAGUGUAGAAUAAGAUUAUACCUAUUUGGAAGCCCAAUUGUUUCCCGAUAUAGCAGGAAAAUAGCCUAAAAAGUGACUGGUCCGCAGGAAAACUGGAAAACUAGCCAGAAACUGGGUAAACUUUAAACGUUCAUAACUUCUUCAAUACUCAACCAAAUCGAGUGAUUCAAAAGCUAAACUCACACUUCUCAAUGAGAUACAGAGAAUGGUACCUUUUCUCGAUGGCUAACUCUCCGUGGUUAGACCGGAAAAUGGCUCGAAAGUGGCUAACUCGAUGAGACCAAGACAGCCAAUUUCGAGCCAUUUUAUGGCCAAACGACGGCAAGUUAUCCAUCAAGAAAGGUACCAUUCUCUUCCUCUCAUUGGGAAGUAUGAUUUUUGUUUUUGAAUCACUUGAUUUCGUUGAGUAUUGAGGAAGUUAUGAACGUUAAAAAUUUACCUAGUUUCCGGUGAGUUUUUCAGUUUUCCUACAGACCAGUCACCUUUCAGGCUAUUUUUAGGUCAAAACAUGGCGCAUUAGCCAUCAAGAAAGAUACCAUUCUCUUCGUCUCAUCUAGAAGUAUGAUUUUCAUUUUUGAAUCACUCAAUUUCGUUGAGUAUUGAAGAAGUUAUGAACGUUUAAAGUUUACCCAGUUUACGAUGAAUUUUCCAGUUUUUCUGCAAACCAAUCACCUUUCAAGCUAUCGGCCAAGAGGUCCGGAACCACUUAACGGAGUUUUUAACAAAAGGACCAAAAUCAUGGAUGGUGGAAAAUCAGGGACCAUUUUUAUUGAUUUUCAAUCUUAGGUACCAAAAUUAUGUAUUAUGCAAAUUUCAUAGACCAUUUUGGAUAAAAAGCCAAAAAUCAUUAAAUGUGAAGGUCUUUUAGUCAAUGCUAUGCAUCAAUCAAAGGAACCGUUUAUCAUGAAGAUGCUACUUGUUACCAAAACCAUCGAUUGGUUUAACAUGCAUGGAUGACUAAAAGACAUUCAAAUUGAAUGAUUUUUAGAUGAUGAUAAAUAAAAUGAACGGUUCCAAUUUUGAUGUUCAUACGAUAAAAAUAUGUUAAUUGUAAUUUGGGGGGGGGGGGAAGCAAGUUCUCUUACGAGAGGAACACAAGCAUGAUCCUUUCAGUUUUGAGUAAAAGAACUGAAAUUGUAGAAUAAAUGAAUGUGUUGCAGGAGUUUCUUGAACCAGCAAUAAAGGGAACGCUGAAUGUACUCAAGGCUUGCAAAAAGGCCAAAGUGAAGAGAGUUGUAGUUGUGUCGUCUAUAGCCGCCGUCGUUAUGAACCCGGAGUGGCCUAAGGAUCAAGUCAAGGACGAGACUUGUUGGUCCGUUCCCGAAUAUAUAAAAACAACAAAGAAAUGGUACUAUCUUUCGAAAACAGAAGCAGAACGCGAGGCUCUGGAGUUUGGAAAAAGAAAUGGACUUGAGGUUGUGACUGUUUGUCCUUCUAUCAUUUUGGGGCCAAUCUUGCAAUCCACUCUCAAUUCCAGUAGCUCUCUCAUUGUUGCAACUAUAAUAGGUAUCUCUGUGCAUAUUCAUAUAUUAAGAUUACAAGGUACAAGACAUGUUUCUUGUUUGUGCAAUAUUAAUGUACUAGUGUGUGUGUGUGCAUGCACGCGCGCAACUAUGUACGAAUGUGUAGGUGGUCUUGAGUCCUUGGGAUGCAAUUACUGGACGUUCGUGGAUGUUCGUGAUUUAGCUGACGCGCUGCUUCUUGCAUACAACAAGCCUGAGGCUGCAGGAGAAAGAUACUUAUGCAAUUCACACUCAAUUGGCAUACGAGAUGUGGUGGAGAAAUACUUAAGGCCUACAUAUCCCGAUUACAAGUACCCCAAGAAGUAAGUUAAACCAUUAGACUAGUCCUUCAAUAAUUAAUUAUGGUCUGUUUUUUUUUUUCAAUUCAUCCUUCUGUUUGGUUGUGUACCUUUAACGACUGAUCCAUGUUUAUGUUAUUAAGAUAUGUUACCGGUUGUAUUGGCAGCCUUACCUAUGCAGAGGAAGAAUUUCAACACUUUAGUUCCGAAAAAUUGCAGAAGUUGGGUUGGACUUUCCGGCCAGUUGAGGAAACGCUUAAUGAUUCUAUUGAAAGCUACCGGAAGGCUGGAAUCGUGGGUUAGGAAAAGUUGACAGACUAUUGUAUGUGUACUGUAUUUUCCCUAGCUAGCUAACUAGCUACUCUUAGUAUGCAGACUGCUGUGCACAAUCACAAACAAAAUAAUAGUUCUGCUUGGUAAGUAUGAUAAGCAGCAGUGUUUGCUACUGCCUGCGCUUAUGCUUCAUAUAGGUAGAAAGUUAAGUUAUGCUCUCGUCUUGAUUCCUACCCUAUAUGUUUGGGCCGCUUUAAAUUCCGUCCGGAUCUAACACCUCCGAGCCUUACACGGUGGGGGGUUUUAGGCUCAUGUGUGAAUUAGGCUUAUUUCUAGCUAAAUCUCUAUAUAAUUUAAUUUUAAUCUCACUUUGCCUCUUGUGAGAAUGUGAAGGUAAAAGAGUUUCAUAUUGAUGAAAGGAGAAACCUUGCAAAGGCUUAUAAGAGGUUGGACUACUUUUUAUAUUGCUAAUUGGUCUUAUGGUGGAACCUUAACUUUUUUUAUGGUAUCAAAGCAGGUUGACCCACAUGUAAAGCCCAACAGCUACAUGUGCUCCACCUCACCCAAUUCGUGUUGUCCACGUAUUUAGCAUGAAAGUUCGUCACACGUGAGGGGGUGUGUGAGAAUGUGAAGGUAAAAGAGUUCCACAUUGGUGAAAAGAGAAACCUUGCAAGAGCUUAUAAGAGAUUAGGCUACUCACCAUAUUGCUGAUUGAUUUUAUGGUGGAACCUCAACUUUUUUCACCUCCUAUAACUCAAAGUCUUUAUUUUACUCCCUAAAACUCAAAAUUUGUUCCACUUUGCCCUUGAAACUCGAUAUUGAUCUCAUUUUGCCCUCAUAAACUUAGAAGUCGUCAUUUUACUCACUUGUUCCACAUUCCCUUGAUUAUGUUAAUUCAUUAUGUGGGUUUGAUUUGUAUCCACCAAACUAAUCAUUUUUUUUCCAUCUUUGCAUCUCAAGCACAGAAACCUAAAAAAUUCUAAUUCUUAAUUUCUUCUUUUAAACUUUAUAUUUUCUGAUUGUUGAAUGUUAACGCAUGGUGAAUAUUUAUAAUCAAAUUCAAUGGUACUUGUGAAAAAGUCAUAUUGGGAGGUGGGUCCCCACAUAUGUACCAAAGGGUGACUUUUGGGUUUUCGGGAGAAAAGAUAGUUCACAAAUCAAAGUGAAAUGAUUUUGAGUUUCAAGAAGUAAAAUAGUAACUUUUGAGUUAUUAGGGCAAAGUAAAAUUAAAGUCAAGUUCCAAAGAGCACAACUAAAAAUAAGCAUGCGAAUUACUUCAUUAGGCAUAGACCAUGUUUUCGUGGUCUAAGUGUGUCUAUUCAACUCCUUUUGAGAUUGACCUUCAAAAUCAUAUCCUGCAGAUAUUUCAGAAUAUUUUCGAAACUGAAAUUGAAAUUCACUCUGUAAUGGUCAAAUCAUGUUUUUCAAUAGUCCUAUGCAAUGAUUAAAAAAAUCUAUUGAAUAUCAUCUCGUUCUUGAACUUUCGCUCUUAGUUUUAUUCAGUAUUUUCAUUCUGGUGGAGAUUUGGAAUGACGCAAAUACAUUUAGCGUGGUGAUAUCAUCUAGCUGCAACACUGCAUUGGUAAAGUUAUUUUAGUGGGAUCGUAUCAUUUCAUGUGUGUUUCGACUGUAAUUAUUUCUUUAAUUUUCCAGAAUUGGUAGUCUUUCGAAAACCGAAGGCGAAUUGAGGCCAUGGAGUACGCAAGAAUAAAUGGGCUUGACUUGUUAACCGUUUGUCCUACACUUGUUUUCGGGCCAAUUCUGCAGUACAUUGCAAAUGCAAGUACCUUGGUCCUCAUCAAGCUCUUGAAGGGUACUUAAGUUUUUAUAUAACCACAUGACGCUUAUUUGAAUCUGUUGCUUUAAAAUCUAGGGCUCUUCACAAAAAUAAGCCCCUAUGGAACCCCAUUUUACCACGACCAAAAAAAGAACUCCAUUUCAGAGUUAAAAAACCACAUAAACUUGAUAGGUCACGGAUUUGUUUUUCUGUAGUUUGAUUUUUGAAAUGUUUCUUACUACCAUUAACCAUUACGGGUGCUACCCUAAUUAUGUAUAAAAUCUAAAUAUGUUUAGAUAUAUAGGUAAGUGGUGUUGUAAACUCAUCCUGUGGUAAUUGUCUAUUGUUUAUGCAUUUGGCUCCAUUUUGAUCUCUACAACGCAGGAUCCAGGUUUAUCAUCCAUUCGUGAUCUUCGGGAUCCACAUUAACUGGUUUAGUAUUGUCUCCUCGCAAAAGGGUAUGAGUCACUGGAAAACAAGCUGUGAAUGAUAGUUGCCGUGCGGGAUGUAGCUGAAGCAGUCCUUAUGGCGUAUGAGAAGCCCGAGGCUGAAGGAAGAUAUAUAUGCACCGCUCACAUUAAGGCAAGAGAUCUGGUUGAAGAACUGAGGAGCAUUUAUCCUAAUAAGUAAGGUUUCUUGGAGAGAUUUUCAAAUUAAUUAUGUAUAUAGCGUUAUCGAUCAUCGAUGUCAUCCAACGCAAAAUUAAGUAGAAUGGACAGGGAUUCUUGUUGUAAUGGUUUUCCGUUCAAACUAAUUUUGUAAUUUUGGAUUCGUAUAUCGGCAGCUUUGUUGAAGUAGAAGAACAGCCAAGGUUGAGCUAGGAGAAACUUCAGAGGCUGGGUUUGAGUUUCCGACCUGUUCGUGGCGGAAUGUGGAUCUGGCCCUUCGCACAGCUCCCCAAGGGUUGAUGGCAUUUUGAGUGUGUAUGUUUGGUAGUCGGAUUCUUGCUGCUUGGUGUGCUGCAAGAAGAGUACAAUUUUCGUAUCCAGAUGCUGAUGUCAAAAUUGCGACGUAUAUUCAUAUUCAGGCACAUGAAACGACCCUCGGUUUAACUUUUUUGGUCGGUUUAAAUUUGUGUAACUGUAAACUAACAAGUAUUCAAAAUUGAACUUUAUUGCAACAUAUACAAAAGGCAUUUCAGGGGUAACAUUCCACAGCAUUCCAACUGAUAACACUUCGAACAACACUAUUAUAGUUUAACUCGGUAAACGAUAACUUACAAACUACGCAUCCGGUUUUCGAGCUUUAUUCUUGUUGCCGUAUACCAAUCCAGUCUCCUGAGACGGAAUUCAAGUUGUAAUUUGAAGUAUUUGGCAAGCAAUUGAAAAACUCAAUCAUAAUUUUUUUUCACUUGAAACAGCAUGUUGGAAUGCAUGCAAGUCAUAUCUUUUGUUAAAAUGCAUGCAUGAAAUAAACAUGUUGGAUGACUAGUGAAGUUAGGCUAGUCAACAUUCUUUGUGUAAAUUAGGCAAGUUAGGCAAGUUAGGAAAUUAGGCAAGUUAGGCAAGUUAGGCUUAUCUCUACUUUCUUUUCCUAUAUAUAUGUUUCAUUUGUAAUUGUCUUCAUGAAAUACACAUCAAAAAUUCUACAUGGUAUCAGAGCAGGAACUCUAAAUUCCUGGCUCUGUUGAUCGUUUCCGCUAAGUUUCUUUUACUCUAAGCCAAGAUGGCUGGAGAACAUUAUGAAGCUGAGAGCUCGAUGGAUGCUUUAGCUCUACCUAACGUUGAAAUCAACCCUAAUCAACGUCUCAGUUCUAUUUUGUUGAACGAAUUCAACUAUCUUCCAUGGAGCCGUGCUGUUUCUCUCGCACUUGGAGGGAGAUCAAAGCUUGGCUACGUAAAUGGUGCCAUAAAAGCUCCAGCAGUCACUUCUCCUACCUACGAGUCGUGGCUAUGUAUAGAUUAGUUGGUCAUGUCUUGGUUGCUUAACUCAAUGGAGCGUAGGAUUGCUGAAAUUUUCAGCUAUUCUGAGUCGUCCAUGCAUCUCUGGAAGCAAGUCAAAGAGAUGUAUGGAAAUCAAAAUAAUUCUGCCCGUGUCUUUCAACUUAAGAAGGAUAUUUCGAGCUUGCAACAAGGAGGAAAAGCCUUUGUUCAACAUCUUGGUAACCUUACAAGCAUGUGGAAUGAACUUGAUGUCUAUCGUCCUCAUACCACCGAUGCCACCAUGUUGAUCAAGAGAGCAGAAGAAGACAAGAUUUUUCAACUCUUGGCAAGCUUAGGCUCAGAGUUUGAAGAUCUCAGAAGUCACAUUUUAAUGAAUGUUGAACUUCCUUCAUUCACUGGUGUUUGUGCCAUCAUUCAAAGGGAAGAAGUAAGGAGGAAAGUAAUGAGUCAAGAUACAAAAAAUCCUAUUCCUGAAACUAGAGCAUAUGUCUCCAACAACAAGCGUCCUGAGGGCAAAGUUUAUAAGGGAAAAAGACCAGAUUUGAAGUGCAGCUACUGUGAUUCACUUGGACAUACAAGAGACAGGUGUUGGAUUCUUCAUCCAGAAUUGAAGCCAAAGGGUCCCCAAAGACAGUUGAGUAACAAUGGCUAUAAGGCAAAUUCUGCAGCUAUCUCUUCGACUGAAGGAAUGGUAAACUUCACUACCAAUCCUACAACAUUAAUCAAUGAUUUUGCAGCAUAUCUUCAUAACAAACAGCUGCAUAACAAUGGAGAUGAAGCUCAUGAAGCUACAGUAGCUAAAAAAAAGGAUCACACUGCCUUACUUGGACAAUUUGCUGGUUUCUUGGCUGAGCAUGAUCAUGUUUCGCAGAAGGAUAUUCCAGGUAUUUCAAGUGCCUUAUCUACUGCCUUAAAUGCUAGUAAUGAACAUGAUUAUUGGAUCAUUGACUCAGGUGCUACGGAUCAUAUGACAAAUCAAAUUAAUAACUUGCAUGAUUUCAAAACAUUGUCAAAACCGUCUCAAGUGUCAGUAGCCAAUGGAAAAGGUGCAUUAGUUGUAGGAAAAGGAAAGGUCAACUUACUCUCAAAACACAUAGAGUCAUCAGCUCUUUACAUUCCGUCAUUUCCUUUUCAACUUCUAUCAAUAGGAGCCAUCACCAAUUCUCUAAACUGUCUAGCUAUUUUUUCUCCCCCACAAUGUUGUUUUUCAGGACAUCAUCACCAAGAGAACGAUUGGUGAAGGUUUCUUUUUGAAUGGUCUUUACUACUUAGCUAAAGAUACUAAGGAUCCCAAGGUUUUUCAAGUCAGUUUAAGUGUGUCUCAAGAUCAACAACUUUGGCAUCAACGUUUGGCUCAUCCUUCUGAAAAAGUGAUGUCUUUCUUAUUCCCAAAAUUGUGCAAAGACAAGUUGCACUGUGAUGUUUGUCAUUUGUCUAAAUUUUCCAGGUUGCAUUUUGAGUCCUCCACCAAUAAAGCCAGUCAUCCGUUUGAAAUCAUUCAUUCAGAUAUUUGGGGUCCAAUACUAGAGUCAUUUGAUGGAUAUAGAUAUUUUGUAACCUUUGUUGAUGAUUUCACAAAAAUGACUUGGUUGUAUCUUUUGAAAUUUAAGAGUGAACUUCCAAUUGUUUUUCAAGAUUUUCAUAAACUGGUUGGCACUCAAUUUGCAUCAAAAAUUCAUAUAUUAAGAUCCGACAAUGGCACUGAGUAUAUGUCCCAUAACAUGUCUCAAUACUUGAGUAUUCAUGGCAUCUUGCAUCAAACAACAUGUGUUGGCACACCUCAACAAAAUGGAGUGGCUGAAAGAAAAAAUAGAGAUCUUCUUGAGAAGACAAGAUCAAUCAUGUUUCAUAUGAAUGUACCCAAGAAAUUUUGCUCACAAGGAGUACUUACAGCUGCCUAUCUUAUUAAUAGAUUGCCUAGCAAAAUACUCAGUUUCAAGUCCCCAUUUGAGAUGCUAAAAGGCAGAAAAAUUGAUCUUUCACACUUGAGAGUUUUUGGCUCCACCUGCUUUGUUCACAACAAAUCCCCUCAUCAUGAUAAAUUAGAUCCUAGAGCUAUCAAAUGUAUUUUCUUGGGUUACUCAUCCACUCAAAAAGGCUACAAGUGUACAAUCCAAUCACAAAUAAGCUUCUAGUUUCAAGGGAUGUAAGGUUUAAUGAAAAUAUGUCCUACUUCUCAAAGAAACUAAGUGAUGCAGAUCAGGGGCAGUUUUUGAGUGAUAUGUUUCCAUUGCCUAUUGUCCCGUACUACCAAGAAAAUCCUCCAUCAUGUGACACUACAAGUCCAUCACCUGAACAUGCUCCAUCCCAAGUCACAAAUGUUGAGCAUCCAGUCCAGAUUCGUCGAAACCCUUCUAGGGUUCGUCAACCCCCACUUCGACUACAUGAUUAUGUCACCUACACCUCUAGGUAUCCUCUCACAGAUUUUGUUUCCUAUAAGCAGUUUUCACCCUCUCAUAUCUCAUUUCUUAGUGCCUUGGAUCAUACUCAUGAACCACAAACAUUUCAAGAAGCAAGUAAACAUAAAGUUUGGCAAACUGCAAUGAGGGACGAACUGCAAGCUCUUCAUGAAAACAAAACCUGGAGUGUAAUUAAACUUCCCACAUGGAAGAAAGUAGUGGGUAGCCGUUGGGUGUACAAGACAAAGUUCAACUCAGAUGGGACUAUUGAAAGACACAAAGCUUGUUUAGUGGCUCGUGGUUUUACUCAGACUUAUGGCUUGGAUUACAAGGAAACCUUUGUUCCCGUAGCCAAAAUGAACACUGUAAGGGUUAUCUUGUCAGUUGCUGUGAAUCAAUCUUGGCCUCUCUAUCAAAUGGAUGUGAAGAAUGCUUUUUUGCAUGGGGAAUUAGAGGAGGAAGUGUACAUGAAACUACCACCAGGGCAUCCUCAAUCGAGCGAUCCUGACAUGGUUUGUAAACAGCACAAAUCUAUUUAUGGUCUGAAACAGUCUCCACGUGCCUGGUAUGCAAAACUAAGCUCAGUCCUUGAAGAGUUUGGCUUCCAAAGAAGCAGUGCAGAUUCCUCCCUAUUUGUUUGUAAUGGCUCAGUUGGAAAAGUCGUUGUUUUAAUCUAUGUAGAUGAUCUCAUAGUGACAGGUGACAAUGAUGCAGAAAUCCAAUCUCUCAAGCUUUCUCUUCGAAACAAAUUUGCAAUCAAGGAUUUGGGGCACCUCAAAUAUUUCCUUGGUAUUGAACUUGCGACUUCACAUCAAGGUCUCUUUCUCAAUCAAAGAAAAUAUAUCCUUGAUCUCUUGCAGGAAUCUAACUUAAUGGAUUGUAAACCUGCACGCACUCCUCUGGAUAGUAAGCUGCAACUCACUACUCACAGUGAAGUUCUUUCCAAUGUUACUGAAUAUCAAAGAUUGGUAGGAAACCUUAUUUAUCUCACAAUCACGCGGCCAGAUAUUUCCUAUGCUGUGUGUAUUGUGAGUCAGUUUAUGCAUGCUCCUACAUCAGUUCAUACGCAGAUUGUGAAGAGAAUUCUUCGUUAUCUAAAAGCGUCUGUUGGUCGCGGGAUCCUUAUGAUAAAGAAUGAUAGCACUGCCAUCAUGGGUUACACAGAUGCUGAUUGGGCUGGGCACUCUCUUGAUCGCAAAUCAACCACAGGUUUUUGUACCUUUGUAGGUGGAAACUUGGUAACAUGGCGCAACAAGAAGCAAAGCGUUGUAGCUCGUUCCAGUGCAGAGGCCGAGUAUCGAGCUAUGGCAUCCACUGCUUGUGAACUUAUUUGGCUAAAAAGUCUUCUGUUUGAUUUAGGGUUUCACAGUAAGGAACCUAUAUCUAUGUUCUGUGACAAUCAAGCUGCCAUGCAUAUUGCUUCCAAUCCUGUAUUUCACGAGCGAACGAAGCAUAUUGAAGUGGAUUGUCAUUAUGUUCGAGCACAGGUUCAAGCCAACAUCAUCAACACUCAUUACACUCGCAGUCAUGAUCAAUUGGCUGACAUUUUUACUAAACCUCUUCCUACGGCUCAGUUCAUGCGCAUUCUGUCCAAGCUUGGCUCAAGGAAUCCCCUCGAUCCAGCUUGAUGGGGAGUGUUGGAAUGCAUGCAAGUCAUAUCUUUUGUUAAAAUGCAUGCAUGAAAUAAACAUGUUGGAUGACUAGUGAAGUUAGGCUAGUCAACAUUCUUUGUGUAAAUUAGGCAAGUUAGGCAAGUUAGGAAAUUAGGCAAGUUAGGCAAGUUAGGCAAGUUAGGCUUAUGUCUACUUUCUUUUCCUAUAUAUAUGUUUCAUUUGUAAUUGUUUCUUCAAGAAAUACACAUAAAAAAUUCUACACAGCAGAAACUCAGAUAUGAAACAGUACCUGAGGAUCGACGAUCGGUUUCUGUUUCUUUACGUAAGCAUGGGGAUCCGCAGAGGCCAGAGCGGCCCUUUCCUGCUGUUCCCGCUUGAGGUCCUGUGAGGGCUUCACCCAGAGGAAGUAGGCUAGCGUACCAGCUACCACCCAUGACGCCAGGUUGCUUCCUCCUCUCAGGCCUCCCGUCGAAUUCGAUACGAAGGACCUCACAUUUCCCAAUCUUCUCUUCCAUGUGCUCGUCAUUGAUGUCAAUUUCGUCGCCUCUCUCGCCGAUAUGGGGAUUCGGGAGUUAUAGGGUUUUUUAUUUCUCUGAUCCCCCUUUGCAUGAUUUAUGCUAUUUCCAAACUAUAACACCGAAACGGUGGAGGCAGG